CAUCCACUGCUAUAAUUUCUAUAACAAUCUAUACACAUCUAAUUACUGUGAGGUAACAACUAAAACAUUUAUGGACUCCAUCAGCCAUUGUAGAAUUAUAUCCCCAGAAGCCCAAGAGGAGGUUUUGAAGGCGAUUUCGAAAUCUAACUGCUGAAUUAUACAAAAUUGUCAUGGUGCUGUCUGUUUGUCCCUCUCCCCUCUCCCUUGUUGUUUGUCUUGUCUGUCAUGUGCUGAGUGGGUGUGGCGCUCCUGGCUCUCUCUCCCUCCUCGUCAGGACACCUGUGGCUUCCUGCUCACCUGAAUCACAUCCAGCAAUCGCCACUUCUGUCUUAUACCCCGGCCUUCCAACCAGUCUCUGCCAGAUCGUCCGUUCACCCAAGUGAUUCCUACUUCAGCCCUGGAGGCCCAGUCUGCCUACCUGAGCCAACUUGUUUUUUUUAUUGAGCCUGCCUCUCACCUGUCUGCCCGCUCUCAGCCCCAGAAGAUAUCAAGCACCUGCAUUACUCAUUGUGUUCAAUAAACCUCAAUACUUGUUCCGA
This is a long non-coding RNA of Perca fluviatilis (European perch), 539 nucleotides long. RefSeq lists it as uncharacterized. Lineage: Eukaryota; Metazoa; Chordata; Actinopteri; Perciformes; Percidae. The record is from RefSeq and is a predicted model, not a curated record. The transcript has 2 exons.